This 22-nucleotide ribosomal RNA is filed under the name Najas flexilis. Its description in RNAcentral is "partial 26S ribosomal RNA". RNAcentral also lists the same sequence under 1 other name. The record is from RNAcentral. Lineage: Eukaryota; Viridiplantae; Streptophyta; Magnoliopsida; Alismatales; Hydrocharitaceae.
CCCAGGUCAGGCGAGGCCACCC